CUACCGGGGUAUCUAAUCCCGUUUGCUCCCCUGGCUUUCGCGCCUCAGCGUCAGUGUCAGCCCAGCAACCCGUCUUCACCUCAGGUGUUCCUCUUGAUAUCUACGCAUUUCACCGCUACACCAAGAAUUCCGAUUGCCCCUUCUGCACUCUAGCGCAUCAGUAUCAGCUGACCGUUCCGAGUUAAGCUCGGAGAUUUCACAGCUGACUUAAUAUGCCGCCUACGCGCCCUUUACGCCUAGUAAAUCCGAACAACGCUUGGUCCCUACGUAUUACCGCGGCUGCUGGCAC
Molecule: ribosomal RNA, 289 nt
Filed under: uncultured Acidobacteriota bacterium
Lineage: Bacteria; Pseudomonadati; Acidobacteriota
Description: uncultured Acidobacteria bacterium partial 16S ribosomal RNA
Source: RNAcentral